This 1070-nucleotide ribosomal RNA is filed under the name uncultured bacterium. RNAcentral describes it as "bacterial SSU rRNA". It matches the Rfam family "Bacterial small subunit ribosomal RNA", at positions 14 to 1083 of the family's 1533-position model. The record is from RNAcentral.
UGAUCCUGGCUCAGGAUGAACGCUAGCGGCAGGCUUAAUACAUGCAAGUUGAACGGCAGCGGGUCCAGCAAUGGAUGCCGGCGAGUAGCGCACGGGUGCGUAACACGUAUGUAACCUACCUAUAACCGGGACAUAACCUCGAGAAAUCGUGGCUAACAUCCCAUAACAUCCCUUGAUCGCAUGUUUAAGGGAUUAAAAUUCCGAUGGUUUUAGAUGGGCAUGCGCGACAUUAGCUAGUUGGUGAGGUAACGGCUCACCAAGGCAACGAUGUCUAGGGGGUCUGAGAGGAUGAUCCCCCACACUGGUACUGAGACACGGACCAGGCUCCUACGGGAGGCAGCAGUAAGGAAUAUUGGGCAAUGGGCGCAAGCCUGACCCAGCCAUGCCGCGUGCAGGAUGACAGCCCUACGGGUUGUAAACUGCUUUUAUACGGGAAAAACCCCCUCGACGUGUCGAGGGCUGAUGGUACCGUAAGAAUAAGCAUCGGCUAACUCCGUGCCAGCAGCCGCGGUAAUACGGAGGAUGCAAGCGUUAUCCGGAUUUACUGGGUUUAAAGGGUGCGCAGGCGGAACGAUCAGUCAGUGGUGAAAUCUCCCGGCUUAACCGGGAAACUGCCAUUGAUACUAUCGUUCUUGAGUCCAGUUGAAGUAGGCGGAAUGUAGCAUGUAGCGGUGAAAUGCUUAGAUAUGCUACAGAACACCGAUAGCGAAGGCAGCUUACUAAACUGAAACUGACGCUCAGGCACGAAAGCGUGGGGAUCAAACAGGAUUAGAUACCCUGGUAGUCCACGCUCUAAACGAUGACCACUCGUUGUUGGCAAUACAUCGUCAGCGACUAAGCGAAAGCAUUAAGUGAUCCACCUGGGGAGUACGAUCGCAAGGUUGAAACUCAAAGGAAUUGACGGGGGCCCGCACAAGCGGAGGAGCAUGUGGUUUAAUUCGAUGAUACGCGAGGAACCUUACCUGGGCUAGAACGCAGAACGACGUUUCGGGAAACCGGAAUUCUCUUCGGAGCGUUUUGCGAGGUGCUGCAUGGUUGUCGUCAGCUCGUGCCGUGAGGUGUCCGGGUUA